AAAGUCGUAACAAGGUUUCCGUAGGUGAACCUGCGGAAGGAUCAUUAUUGAAUUGUUUGUUUGAAUUGGCUUAAAACACCGAUUCGGCAUCCAUAUCCAAAACACCUGUGCACUGUUGGAUGACCUAUGCUCUUUGGAGCGCUGGAAGUCCAUUACACACCAAACAAUAUGUAACAAAUGUAGUCUUAUUAUAACAUAAUAAAACUUUCAACAACGGAUCUCUUGGUUCUC
RNAcentral lists this unclassified non-coding RNA (231 nucleotides) under Basidiomycota sp. RNAcentral's name for it is "partial contains small subunit ribosomal RNA, internal transcribed spacer 1, and 5.8S ribosomal RNA". The stretch from base 1 to 47 matches the Rfam family "Eukaryotic small subunit ribosomal RNA", at positions 1785 to 1831 of the family's 1831-position model. Lineage: Eukaryota; Fungi; Basidiomycota. The record is from RNAcentral.